RNAcentral lists this ribosomal RNA (1111 nucleotides) under Campylobacterota bacterium. RNAcentral describes it as "Epsilonproteobacteria bacterium (hot springs metagenome) partial 23S ribosomal RNA". It matches the Rfam family "Bacterial large subunit ribosomal RNA", at positions 1 to 1184 of the family's 2925-position model. The record is from RNAcentral. Lineage: Bacteria; Pseudomonadati; Campylobacterota.
GGUUAAGUGAAUAAGUGCAUACGGUGGAUGCCUAGGCGGUAAGAGGCGAUGAAGGACGUAGAAGGCUGCGAUAAGCCUCGGGGAACUGCCAACAAGUUUUGAUCCGAGGAUUUCCGAAUGGGGAAACCCACCAGUUUACUGGUAUCCCGCAAGGGAAGCGAACGAAGCGAACUGAAACAUCUAAGUAGCUUCAGGAAAAGAAAUCAACCGAGAUUCCCUAAGUAGUGGCGAGCGAACGGGGAUUAGCCCAUGAAGUGUAUAAACGGUUAGUAGAAUGAUCUGGAAAGGUCAGCGAUACAGAGUGAUAGCCUCGUAUACGAAAACCCUUAUGCAUGAUAACGAGUAGGGCGGGACACGUGAAAUCCUGUCUGAAUAUGGGGGGACCAUCCUCCAAGGCUAAAUACUCCUUACCGACCGAUAGUGAACAAGUACCGUGAGGGAAAGGCGAAAAGAACCCCGGAAGGGGAGUGAAAUAGAACCUGAAACCGUAUGCAUACAAGCAGUGGGAGCACCCUUGUGGUGUGACUGCGUACCUUUUGUAUAAUGGGUCAGCGAGUUGAUUUUAGUGGCGAGGUUAACCGAAUAGGGGAGCCGUAGGGAAACCGAGUCUUAAUAGGGCGACUAGUCGCUAGGAUCAGACCCGAAACCACGUGAUCUAUCCAUGGCCAGGAUGAAGGUGUCGUAACAGACACUGGAGGUCCGAACCCACGCCUGUUGAAAAAGUCGGGGAUGAGCUGUGGAUAGGGGUGAAAGGCUAAUCAAACGUGGAGAUAGCUGGUUCUCUUCGAAAGCUAUUUAGGUAGCGCCUCGUAUAUAACUGUCGGGGGUAGAGCACUGUUAUGGUCUCGGGGGGCGUCAAGCUCUACCAGCCCAUUGCAAACUUCGAAUACCGACAAGUUUUAGUGCGGGAGACAGACUGCGGGUGCUAACGUCCGUAGUCAAGAGGGAAACAACCCAGACCGCCAGCUAAGGUCCCAAAUUAUUGCUCAGUGGGAAAGGAUGUGGGAAGGCACAGACAGUCAGGAGGUUGGCUUAGAAGCAGCCACCCUUUAAAGAAAGCGUAAUAGCUCACUGAUCGAGUCGGCCUGCGCCGAAGAUUUAACGGGGCUAA